CCUACGGGCGGCAGCAGUGAGGAAUAUUGGUCAAUGGGCUUACGCCUGAACCAGCCAAGUCGCGUGAGGGAAGACUGCCCUAUGGGUUGUAAACCUCUUUUGUCAGGGAGCAAUUGGCGCUACGUGUAGCGUUAUCGAGAGUACCUGAAGAAAAAGCAUCGGCUAACUCCGUGCCAGCAGCCGCGGUAAUACGGAGGAUGCGAGCGUUAUCCGGAUUUAUUGGGUUUAAAGGGUGCGUAGGCGGAAUGCCAAGUCAGCGGUAAAAUCGCGGGGCUCAACCUCGCUCCGCCGUUGAAACUGGCGGUCUUGAGUGGGCGAGAAGUAUGCGGAAUGCGUGGUGUAGCGGUGAAAUGCAUAGAUAUCACGCAGAACUCCGAUUGCGAAGGCAGCAUACCGGCGCCCAACUGACGCUGAGGCACGAAAGCGUGGGUAUCGAACAGGAUUAGAUACCCCGGUAGUC
Molecule: ribosomal RNA, 460 nt
Filed under: uncultured bacterium
Lineage: Bacteria
Description: partial 16S ribosomal RNA
Rfam family: Bacterial small subunit ribosomal RNA
Source: RNAcentral